ACGGAGGGGGCCAGCGUUGUUCGGAAUCAUUGGGCGUAAAGGGCGCGUAGGCGGCUUUGUAAGUCCGUUGUGAAAUCCCUCGGCUCAACCGAGGAACUGCGACGGAUACUGCUUGGCUUGAGUCCCGGAGAGGGUAGCGGAAUUCCCAGUGUAGCGGUGAAAUGCGUAGAUAUUGGGAGGAACAUCGGUGGCGAAGGCGGCUACCUGGACGGGUACUGACGCUGAUGCGCGAAAGCUAGGGGAGCAAACAGGA
RNAcentral lists this ribosomal RNA (253 nucleotides) under uncultured prokaryote. RNAcentral describes it as "partial 16S ribosomal RNA". It matches the Rfam family "Bacterial small subunit ribosomal RNA", at positions 525 to 777 of the family's 1533-position model. The record is from RNAcentral.